GAUGAACGCUGGCGGCGUGCCUAAUACAUGCAAGUCGAGCGAACGGACGAGAAGCUUGCUUCUCUGAUGUUAGCGGCGGACGGGUGAGUAACACGUGGAUAACCUACCUACAAGACUGGGAUAACUUCGGGAAACCGGAGCUAAUACCGGAUAAUAUUUUGAACCGCAUGGUUCAAAAGUGAAAGACGGUCUUGCUGUCACUUAUAGAUGGAUCCGCGCUGCAUUAGCUAGUUGGUAAGGUAACGGCUUACCAAGGCAACGAUGCAUAGCCGACCUGAGAGGGUGAUCGGCCACACUGGAACUGAGACACGGUCCAGACUCCUACGGGAGGCAGCAGUAGGGAAUCUUCUGCAAUGGGCGAAAGCCUGACGGAGCAACGCCGCGUGAGUGAUGAAGGUCUUCGGAUCGUAAAACUCUGUUAUUAGGGAAGAACAUAUGUGUAAGUAACUGUGCACAUCUUGACGGUACCUAAUCAGAAAGCCACGGCUAACUACGUG
RNAcentral lists this ribosomal RNA (497 nucleotides) under uncultured bacterium. Its description in RNAcentral is "partial 16S ribosomal RNA". It matches the Rfam family "Bacterial small subunit ribosomal RNA", at positions 28 to 507 of the family's 1533-position model. The record is from RNAcentral.